This 113-nucleotide ribosomal RNA is filed under the name Neogale vison (American mink). The record is from RNAcentral. Lineage: Eukaryota; Metazoa; Chordata; Mammalia; Carnivora; Mustelidae.
UCUACGGCCAUACCACCCUAAACGCGCCCGAUCUCGUCUGAUCUCGGAAGCUAAGCAGGGUCGGGCCUGGUUAGUACUUGGAUGGGAAAAGGGGGAUCUAGGUGCCAGCAGCA